Molecule: ribosomal RNA, 305 nt
Filed under: uncultured bacterium
Lineage: Bacteria
Description: bacterial SSU rRNA
Rfam family: Bacterial small subunit ribosomal RNA
Source: RNAcentral
CUCCUACGGGGCGCAGCAGUGGGGAAUAUUGCACAAUGGGGGAAACCCUGAUGCAGCGACGCCGCGUGAGCGAUGAAGUAUCUCGGUAUGUAAAGCUCUAUCAGCAGGGAAGAAAGUGACAGUACCUGACUAAGAAGCCCCGGCUAACUACGUGCCAGCAGCCGCGGUAAUACGUAGGGGGCAAGCGUUAUCCGGAUUUACUGGGUGUAAAGGGAGCGUAGACGGCUGUGCAAGUCUGGAGUGAAAGGCAUGGGCUCAACCUGUGGACUGCUUUGGAAACUGUGCGGCUUGAGUGUCGGAGAGGC